GAGAACAGGGUGGGAGGUAACGAUUCUGGACAGAAAACCAUGGUAAGCUGAGCUUAGACCAUGGGUGAGCUGUAAGAGUGAGAGAGAACGGAGGAGAAGGGUUUUCUAGAGAGAGCUAAAACAGAGGAAGAAAAAUGAAGUGAGAGCAAGGAGGAGAGAGUGAGCUGGGGAAGACAUCUGAAACAAGAGGAGCUAUAGGGAGGUGAUUUUGAGCUGAGCAGGGGAGUGAGUUGGAUUUUGAGAGGGUUUGAGGCUGUGAAAAUGAGCUGAACAGUGAGAGGGGCAGAGGAGAGAAAGGGAGUGGGUUUGCUGCGGUUUUGAUUUAAGCUUAGGAGAAGAAGCAGAGCAGCUUGAAGCCCAGUUAGUUCCGCUGGAGGGGAGCAUUUCCUGGAUUUGGAGAUGGAGAUGUUCUUUCAGGUUGGAGAACAGUAGGCUUCGAGUGCAUACAGUGCAUGAGUUUGGAGGCUAUCAGUUUACAGGUCUCUCCAGUUUUGUCCUUUGCUAGAAAGUUGAAGGCUCUGAAAGAUGAUCUGAAACAUGGACUAGAGAGAAGGAUGGCCUUAGAAGCAACAGCAGUGGAAGUAGCAGUGACUGAUGUAUAUAGAGAUGGGUGAAGCUUAUUAAGUU
Vitis vinifera (wine grape) is the source of this 627-nucleotide long non-coding RNA. RefSeq lists it as uncharacterized. The transcript has 3 exons. The record is from RefSeq and is a predicted model, not a curated record. NCBI's taxonomy places the organism in Eukaryota, Viridiplantae, Streptophyta, Magnoliopsida, Vitales, Vitaceae.